CAGUCGCCGCGGUAAAACGUAGGUGGCAAGCGUUGUCCGGAAUUAUUGGGCGUAAAGGGCUCGCAGGCGGUUUCUUAAGUCUGAUGUGAAAGCCCCCGGCUCAACCGGGGAGGGUCAUUGGAAACUGGGAAACUUGAGUGCAGAAGAGGAGAGUGGAAUUCCACGUGUAGCGGUGAAAUGCGUAGAGAUGUGGAGGAACACCAGUGGCGAAGGCGACUCUCUGGUCUGUAACUGACGCUGAGGAGCGAAAGCGUGGGGAGCGAACAGGAUUAGAUACCCGUGUAGUCCCUGUCUCUUAUAC
This 301-nucleotide ribosomal RNA is filed under the name uncultured bacterium. Its description in RNAcentral is "partial 16S ribosomal RNA". It matches the Rfam family "Bacterial small subunit ribosomal RNA", at positions 509 to 807 of the family's 1533-position model. The record is from RNAcentral.